This 329-nucleotide ribosomal RNA is filed under the name uncultured eukaryote. RNAcentral's name for it is "partial 18S ribosomal RNA". It matches the Rfam family "Eukaryotic small subunit ribosomal RNA", at positions 1470 to 1796 of the family's 1831-position model. The record is from RNAcentral.
CCCUUAGAUGUCCUGGGCCGCACGCGCGCUACACUGAGUGUCUGAGAUACGAGUCUGCCUGGUCCGGCAAGGUCUAGGUAAUCGCUAAAAGACACAUCAUGCUUGGGAUAGAUUAUUGCAAAUAUUAAUCUUGAACGAGGAAUUCCUCGUAAGCGCAAGUCAACAGCUUGCGUUGAUUACGUCCCUGCCCUUUGUACACACCGCCCGUCGCUACUACUGAUUGGAUGUUUAAGCGAGGUUCUCGAACUGCUAGCGACUUAGCUUCGGUGAGGUCGCAGUGUGGGAAGUGAACCUAGCUUUGGUGUCUAGAGGAAGUAAAAGUCGUAACA